Molecule: ribosomal RNA, 498 nt
Filed under: uncultured bacterium
Lineage: Bacteria
Description: partial 16S ribosomal RNA
Rfam family: Bacterial small subunit ribosomal RNA
Source: RNAcentral
ACUCAAAGGAAUAGACGGGGGCCCGCACAAGCGGUGGAGCAUGUGGUUUAAUUCGACGCAACGCGAAGAACCUUACCGGGGUUUGACAUGCACGGGACAGGUGUGGAAACACACCCUCUCUUCGGAGUCCGUGCACAGGUGCUGCAUGGCUGUCGUCAGCUCGUGUCGUGAGAUGUUGGGUUAAGUCCCGCAACGAGCGCAACCCUUGUCACUAGUUGCCAGCGAGUAAAGUCGGGCACUCUAGUGAGACUGCCGGUGGUAAGCCGGAGGAAGGUGGGGAUGACGUCAAGUCCUCAUGGCCCUUACAUCCCGGGCUACACACGUGCUACAAUGGGCGAUACAAAGGGUUCCGAUGCCGCGAGGUGGAGGCAAUCCCAGAAAGUCGCUCUCAGUUCGGAUUGCAGUCUGCAACUCGACUGCAUGAAGGUGGAAUCGCUAGUAAUCGCGAAUCAGCAGGUCGCGGUGAAUACGUUCCCGGGCCUUGUACACACCGCCCGU